This 849-nucleotide ribosomal RNA is filed under the name uncultured Verrucomicrobiota bacterium. RNAcentral's name for it is "bacterial SSU rRNA". It matches the Rfam family "Bacterial small subunit ribosomal RNA", at positions 65 to 891 of the family's 1533-position model. The record is from RNAcentral. Lineage: Bacteria; Pseudomonadati; Verrucomicrobiota.
AACGGGAUUUUCUUUGGUAGCAAUACCGAAGAAAAUCUAGUGGCGAACGGGUGCGUAACACGUGGGCAAUCUGCCUUAAAGUGGGGGAUAGCUCGGCGAAAGCCGGAUUAAUACCGCAUGUGAUUACCGGAGAAUUCUUCGGAACAUCAAAGUCGGGGCAACCUGACGCUUUUUGAGGAGCCCGCGGCCUAUCAGCUAGUUGGUGAGGUAACGGCUCACCAAGGCUUUGACGGGUAGCUGGUCUGAGAGGACGACCAGUCACACUGGAACUGAGACACGGUCCAGACACCUACGGGUGGCAGCAGUCGAGAAUUUUUCUCAAUGGGGGAAACCCUGAAGGAGCGACGCCGCGUGGAGGAUGAAGGUCUUCGGGUUGUAAACUCCUGUCAUUUGGGAACAAUGCUUACGUAUUAACUGUACGUGAGUUGAUAGUACCAGAAGAGGAAGAGACGGCUAACUCUGUGCCAGCAGCCGCGGUAAUACAGAGGUCUCAAGCGUUGUUCGGAUUCAUUGGGCGUAAAGGGUGUGUAGGUGGCGCGCUAAGUCGGGUGUGAAAUUUCGGAGCUUAACUCCGAAACUGCAUUCGAUACUGGCGUGCUUGAGGACUGGAGAGGAGACUGGAAUUCAUGGUGUAGCAGUGAAAUGCGUAGAGAUCAUGAGGAAGACCAGUGGCGAAGGCGGGUCUCUGGACAGUUCCUGACACUGAGACACGAAGGCCAGGGGAGCAAACGGGAUUAGAUACCCCGGUAGUCCUGGCAGUAAACGGUGCACGUUUGGUGUGGGAGGAUUCGACCCCUUCUGCGCCGGAACUAACGCGUUAAACGUGCCGCCUGGGGAGUACGGUCGCAA